This 433-nucleotide ribosomal RNA is filed under the name uncultured bacterium. RNAcentral describes it as "partial 16S ribosomal RNA". It matches the Rfam family "Bacterial small subunit ribosomal RNA", at positions 29 to 507 of the family's 1533-position model. The record is from RNAcentral.
AACGAACGCUGGCGGCAGGCCUAACACAUGCAAGUCGAGCGAGAUCUUCGGGUCUAGCGGCGGACGGGUGAGUAACGCGUGGGAAUAUGCCUCUUGGUACGGAAUAGCCUCGGGAAACUGGGAGUAAUACCGUAUGUGCCCUUCGGGGGAAAGAUUUAUCGCCAAGAGAUUAGCCCGCGUUGGAUUAGGUAGUUGGUGGGGUAAUGGCCUACCAAGCCGACGAUCCAUAGCUGGUUUGAGAGGAUGAUCAGCCACACUGGGACUGAGACACGGCCCAGACUCCUACGGGAGGCAGCAGUGGGGAAUCUUAGACAAUGGGGGCAACCCUGAUCUAGCCAUGCCGCGUGAGUGAUGAAGGCCUUAGGGUUGUAAAGCUCUUUCAGCUGGGAAGAUAAUGACGGUACCAGCAGAAGAAGCCCCGGCUAACUCCGUG